UUAUAUAUCACUACAUCACAGAAACAACUGAAACAAAGAUCUAAAAGCAGUUUAGCAGCAAACUUUGUGAAAACUAAUAUUUGUGUCAUUCUCAAAAUUUUUGCCCACGACUGUACAUCUGCAUUACCUCAAAG
Molecule: long non-coding RNA, 134 nt
Organism: Bufo bufo (common toad)
Lineage: Eukaryota; Metazoa; Chordata; Amphibia; Anura; Bufonidae
Exons: 3
Source: RefSeq, a predicted model, not a curated record